CCCAGGCUGGUGUAGUGGUCGCAUACCUUGCUGACACACGGCGAAGCUAGGGCGGAAGCCUACUGCGUGGAAGUCCAGCGGAACCGUGCCCGAAAGGGACGAGGAAGACCGGGUUCGAAUCCCGGGCUUGGGA
This 133-nucleotide transfer RNA is filed under the name Beauveria bassiana D1-5. RNAcentral describes it as "tRNA-Val". The record is from RNAcentral. Lineage: Eukaryota; Fungi; Ascomycota; Sordariomycetes; Hypocreales; Cordycipitaceae.